RNAcentral lists this ribosomal RNA (774 nucleotides) under uncultured Neocallimastigales. RNAcentral's name for it is "partial large subunit ribosomal RNA". It matches the Rfam family "Eukaryotic large subunit ribosomal RNA", at positions 24 to 649 of the family's 3401-position model. The record is from RNAcentral. Lineage: Eukaryota; Fungi; Neocallimastigomycota; Neocallimastigomycetes; Neocallimastigales.
UAUGUGAUCGUCUCUCGCAUAUCAAUAAGCGGAGGAAAAGAAACUAACAAGGAUUCCCCUAGUAACGGCGAGUGAAGCGGGAAGAGCUCAAAUUUGAAAUCUUAAAGGGUUUCCCUUUACGAAUUGUAGUUUAAAGAAGUGUUUUCUGUUGAGGUUUUGGUAAAAGUUCUUUGGAAUAGGACAUCAUAGAGGGUGAGAAUCCCGUAUUUGACCUUUACUUUCAACUUUGUGAUACACUUUCAAAGAGUCGGAUUGUUUGGGAAUGCAGUCCAAAAUGGGUGGUAAAUUUCAUCUAAAGCUAAAUAUUGGCGAGAGACCGAUAGCGAACAAGUACCGUGAGGGAAAGAUGAAAAGAACUUUGAAAAGAGAGUCAAACAGUACGUGAAAUUGUCAAAAGGGAAGCGUUUGACACCAGUGUUGUUUUUCUGAAAAUCAAUUAAAGAACUGUUUAUGCUAAGCUGUUUAGACUUUAUCAGCUAUCUGUUUAGUUUUGAGCUUUUCUUUAAUGCACUUUUCAGUUAACAAGUCAACAUCAAUUUCUUUUGCUGUAAAAAAGCUUGAGGAAGGUGGCUUGAGAUUCGUCUUAAGUGUUUAUAGCCUCUUGCCUAUGCAGUCGGAGAGAUUGAGGUCUGCAGCGUAGAUCCUUCGGGGCUAAAUGCAUUUGUGCUAAGUUAUAGCAUUUUAUAGACAACUUGUUGACUAUGAUUUGUCUUGUAGCUUACUCGCUUAUGUUAUUUUACCUACGCUUAGGAUGUUGAGUAGCGACAUACGCAC